AUGACAGACUCCUACGGGAGGCAGCAGUAGGGAAUUUUCGGCAAUGGGGGGAACCCUGACCGAGCAACGCCGCGUGAAGGAAGAAGGAAUUCGUUCUGUAAACUUCUGUUAUAAAGGAAGAAAGACGGAUGGAGGAAAUGACAUCCGAGUGACGGUACUUUAUGAGAAAGCCACGGCUAACUACGUGCCAGCAGCCGCGGUCAUACGUAGGAUCCGAGCAUUAUCCGGAGUGACUGAGUGUAAAGAGUUGCGUAGGUGGCAUAAUAAGUAGCUAGUGAAAUCUGGUGGCUCAACCAUUCAGACUAUUAGCUAAACUGUUAAGCUCGAGACCGUUAGGGGUAACUGGAAUUUCUAGUGUAGGGUUGAAAUCCGUAGAUAUUAGAAGGAACACCAAUAGCGUAGGCAGGUUACUGGGACGGUUCUGACACUAAGGCACGAAAGCGUAGGGAGCAAACGGGAUUAGAUACCCCCGUAAC
Molecule: ribosomal RNA, 476 nt
Filed under: uncultured bacterium
Lineage: Bacteria
Description: partial 16S ribosomal RNA
Rfam family: Bacterial small subunit ribosomal RNA
Source: RNAcentral